RNAcentral lists this ribosomal RNA (460 nucleotides) under uncultured bacterium. RNAcentral describes it as "partial 16S ribosomal RNA". It matches the Rfam family "Bacterial small subunit ribosomal RNA", at positions 338 to 795 of the family's 1533-position model. The record is from RNAcentral.
CCUACGGGUGGCAGCAGGGAGGAAGAGUGGACAAUGGCCGGAAGGCGGAACCAGCGAAGUCGCGGGAAGGAAGAAGGAGCUAGGGGCUGUAAACGUCGGUUAUAGGGGAAAAAAGGUAGCCACGUGUGGAGUUUUGCAUGUACCCUAUGAAUAAGCAUCGGCUAACUCCGUGCCAGCAGCCGCGGUAAUACGGAGGAUGCGAGCGUUCUGCGGAUUUAUUGGGUUUAAAGGGUGCGUAGGUUGUUUUUUAAGUCAGCGGUGAACGUUUGUGGCUCAACCCUAAAAUUGCCGUUGAAACUGCGAGACUUGAGUGUGUUUGAGGUAGGCGGAAUGCGUGGUGUAGCGGUGACAUGCAUAGCUAUCACGCAGAACUCCGAUUGCGAAGGCAGCUUACUAAGCCAUAACUGACACUGAGGCCCGAAAGCGUGGGGAUCAAACAGGAUUAGAUACCCCAGUAGUC